Molecule: non-coding RNA, 1232 nt
Organism: Manis javanica (Malayan pangolin)
Lineage: Eukaryota; Metazoa; Chordata; Mammalia; Pholidota; Manidae
Source: RefSeq, a predicted model, not a curated record
CACAAAUUUCACUGUAGAGGGAGUAUACGAAAUAGGAAUUAGGCGGAUAAACUAUUCUUAAUCUAGAAGAAACUCAGUUGCCUUUAUGAAAAGCAACGGUUUACUUCCAGAGACCUGAGAAUUUGAAAAUAUUGGCUAGGUUAAACGAGAAAAGGUGUAAAGGAAACCGCACCCUCCCUUUUUGAUAGUACAUCUCACAGGGCGCCUCUUUCCACGGUGGUAGCUUCGCCAGACUUUUUCUAUGGUUAUUAUCUUACGUGGAAUGGGCGCUCUGCAACGCGACCAUAGAGCAGUUCCCUCCCGGAAGACCUCCGAGUUCGCGGGCUCUACCCCAAAUCCUCUGAACUGCUGUUCGCUAGCUUCCCUCAAUGAUUUGUUCCAAGAAAGUUUGUGGCCCUGAUUGAACUGUUGCGGUUCUCAGAAGCCUCCACCGGAGGGCGUCCGGGCGCUGCCUAGGGUUCCUCCAUCUGGUGCGGGACACACCCAGGACCGUGUGCCGGCGAUGCGAGCAAAACACAGUGGGCUUGCCUUGGCAGGAGUCCCUUUGUGGACCUGUGAUUAUCGGAGGUGCUCUGUUUCUAUGUGAAUAUGAACCUUUGCAUCUGUGACUACCCAUUGUACUCUGAGUAUUUGUGUCACUUUCUUUACUCUUUGUAUCUGUAUCUGUGUCACUCUAGUUUCUUCUAUUUCUGGUAUCGGCCUGUGCGUAAGUUUAUAUCUAGGUAAUUUUGUGUGUCUCUGUUACUCUUAUGCAUCUGAAUUUCAGUGGCUCAGUAUUUGUGACCAGGUGUGCCUGAGUGUGUACAUUAAUUAAAGUGUCUGUUAUUUUGGUGUGUGCGUUGGGGAGGGGGUCUCUGUGUGACCCUGUGAGGAUCUAUGUGCCUAUUCCUCAGUAGGGGUUUGGGAGAGUCUGCAUUUAUUUUCUUGCAUUUCUUUUUGUCUAUUUGUAUGUUCAUUCCUACCCUCUUUGUGAGAGGAGAACUUCCACCAAACCCCUUUGUUUACUGAUGGGGAAACUGAGUUGACAGAGAGAGGAACCACAUACAUGACAGCUGAGUGGGAUUGCAAAGACAAGAGAGGAUGGAAGUGGGAUUACAAAAUUUUAUGUGAUAUGAGCCCCUCUGGAGGCACCAGAGUCCACACUCUGUAUAGGGGGCAUGAGAGACUGGCUCAGGGGGACAGCAUGGCCCACAAGGAGGGGAUUGUCCCCUGGGGAAAGGAGGUAUCCCUAA